UUGCUCUGUGGAUCAGUGGCGAACGGGUGAGUAACACGUGAGCAACCUGCCCCGGACUCUGGGAUAAGCGCUGGAAACGGCGUCUAAUACCGGAUACGAGACAAGACGGCAUCGUCAUUGUCUGGAAAGAUUUUUUGGUCUGGGAUGGGCUCGCGGCCUAUCAGCUUGUUGGUGAGGUAAUGGCUCACCAAGGCGUCGACGGGUAGCCGGCCUGAGAGGGUGACCGGCCACACUGGGACUGAGACACGGCCCAGACUCCUACGGGAGGCAGCAGUGGGGAAUAUUGCACAAUGGGCGAAAGCCUGAUGCAGCAACGCCGCGUGAGGGAUGACGGCCUUCGGGUUGUAAACCUCUUUUAGCAGGGAAGAAGCGAAAGUGACGGUACCUGCAGAAAAAGCGCCGGCUAACUACGUGCCAGCAGCCGCGGUAAUACGUAGGGCGCAAGCGUUAUCCGGAAUUAUUGGGCGUAAAGAGCUCGUAGGCGGUUUGUCGCGUCUGCUGUGAAAUCCCGAGGCUCAACCUCGGGCCUGCAGUGGGUACGGGCAGACUAGAGUGCGGUA
RNAcentral lists this ribosomal RNA (560 nucleotides) under Microbacterium sp. CH10. Its description in RNAcentral is "bacterial SSU rRNA". It matches the Rfam family "Bacterial small subunit ribosomal RNA", at positions 80 to 653 of the family's 1533-position model. Lineage: Bacteria; Bacillati; Actinomycetota; Actinomycetes; Micrococcales; Microbacteriaceae. The record is from RNAcentral.